UUAUAAUCGUUUGUUAAGCUUAAUUACUGUAUUUAUUUGUCUAUAUCAGAAUACUAAAUGUAAUGUGUAAUUUCAAGAUUAAAAAUAGCUUCGGUGUUACGACAUGACGCCAGCACUCGCGCCAACGAUUCAAUUUUAACAUUUCUCGUGGUUAGUUAAUUAACAACGCAGUCAGCCACAUUGUACUCGAGGUAGAGGCGAAUUUAAAUAUCAUUGACAUUUAAUGAUAACUGGUAAAGUUUUGAUUGUUUAUUGCAACGGUCCAACCCUGUAUUCAAAUCUAAUCCAUCAUAGAUCGAGUCGACUUGAUAACAAAUAUUGUCUGCGUGGAAUUUUAUGUGUUCACAUCAAUAAUCCAGCAAGUUGUCUGCUGUUGGGUCAUCGCGUCCUAAAUUUAUCAAAGGGAAUCUUAAAUCUGAGCUCCGGAGAUCCGAGUAUUGAUUUCUUAUUGAUGAUCGCUGGCUAAUGCGUACUAAUAAUAUAAGUCCUCAUGUAUUUAUUAAUACGAUGAAUUUAAUCUAACAAGUCAAUAAAGAAGACCAGUAAAGCCGUAAUUCCUUUAACAAAAAAUAAAAAAACCCUGGUCGUUUCAGUAAAA
Molecule: long non-coding RNA, 598 nt
Organism: Microplitis mediator
Lineage: Eukaryota; Metazoa; Arthropoda; Insecta; Hymenoptera; Braconidae
Exons: 5
Source: RefSeq, a predicted model, not a curated record